Helianthus annuus (common sunflower) is the source of this 354-nucleotide long non-coding RNA. RefSeq lists it as uncharacterized. The record is from RefSeq and is a predicted model, not a curated record. The transcript is spliced from 2 exons. NCBI's taxonomy places the organism in Eukaryota, Viridiplantae, Streptophyta, Magnoliopsida, Asterales, Asteraceae.
GCUCAUAUCAGUGUGUGUAUGUGAAAGAGAUGACCAACAGGGGUAAAAGGAAAAAGAAGGAAAGGCUAGAGCAAAAAUCUUGUAAUUGGAAGUGAAUCAAUGGUUUAGGGCUUGAAAAUUUUCUAUGUGGUGAAGAAGCACAACAGGAAGUCAAUGGCUCGGUGGAGGAACUCAAGAUCGGAUCAAUCCUACGGCAAAGGUGACCAUUUAAUAUUCUACAUAAAAAAAAUAUAUAAUUAUGAUAUGAAGUGUAAAUAGCUUGACUAUUUCGUGGUAUUAUGUAUAAAUUGGACCAAUUCAUGGCUAUGUAAUAUGAUUAUUUAUUUGAUCAUGUUGCAAGUUCUUACAUGGACA